GCACUGAAUGGAUUAAAUAUUCUUUAUUUAAUUAUUAUUUUAUUUUAAAUACUUUUAAGUCCAUCUUAUAGAAAAUUUUAAAUGUUCUAAUUGAAAAAAAUUUUUAUUGUAACUCGCCUUACUUCUUAUUUAUUUGCUGCACUUUGAUUUGUAUUGAGUUUUAAAAUAAAAUUUCAAAUUCACCUUGGGGUAAAUUCACGACAACGGUAUACAAGCUUUGUUAAAUAAGUAUAAUGUUCUUGGUGGUUAUCAAUUAUAUGGUAAGUUCCCCUAAAAUACUACAUUCAGCCGCCAUAAUAUUUAAGUUUAGGCUUAAUAAUAAGCAUUAAUUCUUGUUUAAAUAUGUGAAUCUCUCUAUAAUUGGGUAUCUAAUCCAGGUUUAACUAAAAGAGGUUGAUAAAUAUAAAUACAGUCAGACUAUUAAAUUAAUAGUAUUUCACUACAUAUUAAAAUUUUGUGUAUAUUAAUUAUAAAACAACUACUAUAAAUUUGCCUAAUAGGUAUGACCGCGGUUGCUGGCACCUAAUAAACCUAGGUUAUAUAAUUAUCUAAAUUAAAAUUUCUUUAAUUGUUUAAAAUUUUUAACUGGAGUAAGUGUUUUCAUUCCAUAUUAAGUUAGAUUAUUAACUUAUAGAUCCAUCAUAUUAAAGUGUUAUCUAAGGGGGUUGAUUACCAUUUUAGA
RNAcentral lists this ribosomal RNA (682 nucleotides) under Montenegrina hiltrudae sattmanni. RNAcentral describes it as "partial 12S ribosomal RNA". Lineage: Eukaryota; Metazoa; Mollusca; Gastropoda; Stylommatophora; Clausiliidae. The record is from RNAcentral.